RNAcentral lists this ribosomal RNA (743 nucleotides) under Bacillus sp. (in: firmicutes). RNAcentral describes it as "bacterial SSU rRNA". It matches the Rfam family "Bacterial small subunit ribosomal RNA", at positions 64 to 789 of the family's 1533-position model. The record is from RNAcentral. Lineage: Bacteria; Bacillati; Bacillota; Bacilli; Caryophanales; Bacillaceae.
GAGCGGACAGAUGGGAGCUUGCUCCCUGAUGUUAGCGGCGGACGGGUGAGUAACACGUGGGUAACCUGCCUGUAAGACUGGGAUAACUCCGGGAAACCGGGGCUAAUACCGGAUGGUUGUUUGAACCGCAUGGUUCAAACAUAAAAGGUGGCUUCGGCUACCACUUACAGAUGGACCCGCGGCGCAUUAGCUAGUUGGUGAGGUAACGGCUCACCAAGGCAACGAUGCGUAGCCGACCUGAGAGGGUGAUCGGCCACACUGGGACUGAGACACGGCCCAGACUCCUACGGGAGGCAGCAGUAGGGAAUCUUCCGCAAUGGACGAAAGUCUGACGGAGCAACGCCGCGUGAGUGAUGAAGGUUUUCGGAUCGUAAAGCUCUGUUGUUAGGGAAGAACAAGUACCGUUCGAAUAGGGCGGUACCUUGACGGUACCUAACCAGAAAGCCACGGCUAACUACGUGCCAGCAGCCGCGGUAAUACGUAGGUGGCAAGCGUUGUCCGGAAUUAUUGGGCGUAAAGGGCUCGCAGGCGGUUUCUUAAGUCUGAUGUGAAAGCCCCCGGCUCAACCGGGGAGGGUCAUUGGAAACUGGGGAACUUGAGUGCAGAAGAGGAGAGUGGAAUUCCACGUGUAGCGGUGAAAUGCGUAGAGAUGUGGAGGAACACCAGUGGCGAAGGCGACUCUCUGGUCUGUAACUGACGCUGAGGAGCGAAAGCGUGGGGAGCGAACAGGAUUAGAUACCCUG